ACCCGAGGGGGGGGGGGGGGGGGGGGGGGGGGGGGGGAAAAAGGGGGCUUUUUUGGUUUUUUUAUUUUUUUGGGUUUUCCCCCCCCCUUCCUUUCCCCUGGGCCCCCAUUUUUCCCCCUUUUUCCCCCUUUUUCCCCCUUUUUCCCCCUUUCCCCGGGGCCAAAAAAAUUCCCCCCCCCCCCCCCCCUUUUUUUGGGGGGGGGGGGGGGGUGGGUUUUUGGGGAAAUUUUUCUUUUUUUUUUUUGGGGCCUCUUCCUCACCUCACUUAUCUUCCCCCGCCUCCUUCCUCCUCCCCUCUUCCCCCUCCCCCUCCCCCUCCUUCGCAACCACCUCGGAGCCUCUCGCGACUGGCCCUUUAAGAGGAUAUUCCGUCCUCUCUCCGCGCUCCUGCCCCCGGCCGGCCCCACAGCCCGGACGCGCUUUCACCGGAUCAAGAUGAGACUCAUGAGAAAUCUCUGAUCAAAAUGUGGGUGACUAUUUGUCUACUUCAGAAGAUAUUUUGAUUCAGCCACCGGUUGAAAUUCCUUGCGAAUCAUCCCUUCUGGACUUCUCUUUUUACCUCUCUAAAGUACCAUCGGGACUAGGUGACUUCCAGGAUCCCUUCUAGGUUGGAGAAUCUGGUCCUUUCAUCCCCACCCACCUUGGAAAUCCCACAUUGUGAUUCCAAUUGCAGCUGCCUCUCCUAAUCUUUCUUACAUGGGGUAGACUCUCAAAACGUUUGAGCUAAAUCAGGCAAGAAAAAUAGAUCCCAGACCACAGCUCCCAGCUUUCCACCCCCAACCACCUCCGGGCCCCAUCCCACCCCUUAGAAAGAGAUUUUGAGAAAGUUUCCUAAAUGAGAGCACCCCCUGG
RNAcentral lists this long non-coding RNA (852 nucleotides) under Sarcophilus harrisii (Tasmanian devil). RNAcentral describes it as "lncRNA (ENSSHAG00000026995.1)". Lineage: Eukaryota; Metazoa; Chordata; Mammalia; Dasyuromorphia; Dasyuridae. The record is from RNAcentral.